This is a long non-coding RNA of Fukomys damarensis (Damara mole-rat), 2435 nucleotides long. RefSeq lists it as uncharacterized. Lineage: Eukaryota; Metazoa; Chordata; Mammalia; Rodentia; Bathyergidae. The record is from RefSeq and is a predicted model, not a curated record. The transcript has 2 exons.
CCAGGCGGAAGUCUCUGACCGCGACGAGCGAGCGAUUUUUGCAAAGCAUUGCUGGAAAAGGCUCGAAUUGUAUUGUUAGUCGAGUUCAGGCUACAACCGCCUCCUAUUAGAGGUUUCUGCCGAGACUUACGCUAGAGAAGCUAGGAAAAGUGGAAGGGGCGGUGGUGGCUGCCUCGCUGGAAAUGGCCGCGCUGAGGGCAGGUCACGUGUCGCGACUUCCGGCCCCCGGCGCGCUCGGUCUUGGGACAGUUUUAAAUGCGGAGUCAUCUCUCCACCUGCGUGGGCUCGGACCGCGAGCGUAGCUGCGUUCGCGCCUUUUACAGAAGGGAUUGAAAUCCCCGUCACCACCAAAAAAAUGACAGGAUGACAACUGCCCUGUACAAUAUUGCGAGAAUAUUGUGACUUAACGUGGCCAGCGUGUAGUGACUAACAACAUCUGAAAUACUGUGCAUGUCCUUGACUCACCAACUCACAUGGCUUCUCCUUGCAAAAUAUCAAGCAAUUUAUUCGUGUCUUGGGGUGCGAUUCAAUAAGCCUUCGACAUGCUCCUGCCUUUUUCAUCGACAUUUCGCACAGAACCAAGAAUCCUGUGUUUAGGGCAGAACUCAAGCGUGCCUCAUUUUCCUGUUCCUAAGAGAUUUGACAAGGGAAGUGUAAUCUGGACGCCGGAGUAAGUUUAUACUCAAUGAAAAACAAGUAUCAGUUGCACGUGGCUAAAAAUACAUGUGAGGACUAUCUGAAGGGCAUCUCACCAGAGAAAAAGAUACAGCCUUUUGGACCACCAGAAAAGGGUUAAAGAAAGUAGAGGCCAUUACUAUUCAUAACAUUGGAAAUGGUAAAUAGGGUUGUGACUGAAUGUAGAGAUUAUCUAUUACCUUUUAAGAGAUUGGACAUCAAUUCCAUUCACCUCUGAACAGUUACUUGGCAGUUCCUUGCAGAGCUGCCUGUUCUAGAACACUUUAAAGAACGCCACAGGAAAUCACAGUUCUUGGUAUAUGAAAUUAUUCUGUCAACAUUUAUAAUACAUUUGAUAUGCAGGUGGCAAGUAAGAAAAAUUAUACUAAAUAGUACCAUUCCUGGUAAGUCUCACUGUUAUGAGGAUUUCUUGUUCUCACAAUACCAACAAUUUGCAUAUGGAAUCCCUCACUUCGCGCUUAAUUUUUCUUCCUUGCCACUUGAUAUUCUUAAAUAGUCAUGUAUGUUUUAGCCAGGCAUGGUGUUACACGCCUGUAAUCCCGCACACAUCUGGCUGAGGCAAGAGGAUUGCUAUGCUGUUGUAGACCAGCCUGAACUAUGCAGUCUCGGUCUCAAAAAAAAAUGUCAUGUGUUUUGCCAUCAGUUAAGACCACUGCAGACAGUAAACAGAAGAGAAUCUAUGAGAUUUGCUCUCUACAGAAUCUAUAAGGAGACUGAAGAGAUAAUGUGUUCUCAUGAGUCUGAUUUAUGAAAUACUGUAGUUAUUGGAUUUUAAAAAGCGGGCUUCAAACCUGCGCACUCUGUGGAGGCACUGAGGUUUUUCUCUUUAUGCCUUUUAGAUUGCUAUAAGGCCCAAAAACUUCAUGAGCAUUUACCCAAAUCUUUUCCCAUCUCUGUCCCAUCAUGGGUCCUAUCGCAAUGUAUUGAUUUUCCAAUUCCUUUGUCUAUCUGUAAUGUGCCUUCACUCACAAUAUGUGUUCUAGCCAGUUUAGUUUCAGAAAGACGUAUUUUCUGAACUUGCAUCAAAAUCAUGAUCCUGAAUAUUUGAAAGCUACAGCCCUUUAUUUUUUAUUAACUCAAUUUUAUUACACAUUCAGCAAUAUUCCAUUUAUUCACUAUUUUACAAUGUAUCUUUGCUUCUCUUCCUGUAGACUUCUUUAGAUUUCCUUGAGGCCGACUGUGUGCCCUCUGGUCGAGCCAAAACAGCCCUGAACUCAGAAACUUUGGCAAAGACUCCCACAGUUGUAUAAACUGGACGAUUUAGGAAUUUUAAACUUUAGAUGAUAAUUUGGACGUUCUCUAUUUUAUUUUUAUUUUUGUUCUUAAAUUUUUGUUCUAAAAGGUCUUAAAUGAACUUUAAUCCUUGUUUUAAAGAUUAAAGAAUUGUGUCUAUACAUAUGACUCUUGACUUAGCGCUCAUGAUACUGCACUACACUACAGAACCUGAUCUCUGUGUACUGUGUCCAGGCCUGCUGGUUGGUUUUCCUUCAGUGCUUGACCUUGUUGAUGGCAUUUCCAUGAAGGGCUGAGGAGAAUGACUGUCUCUGUUGCUUUUGAUGUGCGAUGCAUACAGAGAUGUGUGCAGGCAGAGUAGCUCUGGUCUAGAGGACAAGCCCGGUAUCCUUGUGAGUUAAUUACAGCUUCCACACGUUGUUUACACCAGAACAUUUUCUCCCCAUGGAAUGUAAGUAAAACUUAGUUUUUGUCACCAAUAAAUGGUAAUACUACAAAAAAAAAAA